Molecule: long non-coding RNA, 832 nt
Organism: Amphimedon queenslandica
Lineage: Eukaryota; Metazoa; Porifera; Demospongiae; Haplosclerida; Niphatidae
Exons: 3
Source: RefSeq, a predicted model, not a curated record
GAAUGGAUCCAAUUAGUUAUGUGGGUGGUUUUAUAUCUGUAAUACGCAUGCGCAUUACUCCCUCAUAGACAAAAAUCACAAAAUGGCUGCCACCAACUGAGUGUUUUUCAUAUUUCUAGUGCUGUCUUUGUGGUUCCAGGCCUUUUUGCUAGUUGUUUGCAUGAGUUGGAUCACUGAUUAGACUAAUAGAACCUUGCACUAGAAUGUAUCUUCUAAUUAUUCUUGUGUGAGGAAAUGGGCUUUUUAGUCUUUCCUGGGUUAUCAUUUGUUCCUUCCACCACAAUUACUCAUUUCAGAACUGCAUUUUAUACCUUGCCAGCGAAUUGGAUCACAAGAGGUUGCUCAUGAGUUUUUGCUUACAUGUGUAGUAGGAGACUAGGAGCUCAAGUAGGUACAAGGUUGAGCUGUAAGCUGUGUAUAAUUAUAGACCACUAGCAAUAAAAAUUGAUUACAUAGGAAGAUUAUUAGAAAUUUUUACGGUUGUAAGGUGUGGUUUAGGAUGAAAUAAAUUCAGCUGCCAUUUUGGUUGACAACUUUUAAUGGACAACAUAUGGGCUGGCAUGAAAACAAACCUGUAUUGAGAAUUCUGGGGCAAAUUGGACCACAUCUUUUGGAGAAGAAGCUUAAAGGCAGGUCUUUUUUCUUAUAACAAGCACAUUUUAGCUUUUAAUAGAGCUACAGCAGGUAAGUGAGGCAUUUUCUUUUUGCAUUCAUUGCCGACUUCCUUAACAAACUUUCCAACGAAAAUGACAGCCAAUUAUGACAUGUGGGCAGAUACCGUAUAUAAAAUUAAUGAAAUUCAUUUCCAAUUCUCACUUCCAGUGGUCUAUAA